AACGAACGCUGGCGGCAGGCCUAACACAUGCAAGUCGAGCGAUCCUUUCGGGGAUAGCGGCGGACGGGUGAGUAACGCGUGGGAACGUACCCUUUGCUACGGAAUAGCCUCGGGAAACUGGGAGUAAUACCGUAUGUGCCCUUCGGGGGAAAGAUUUAUCGGCAAAGGAUCGGCCCGCGUUGGAUUAGGUAGUUGGUGGGGUAAUGGCCUACCAAGCCGACGAUCCAUAGCUGGUUUGAGAGGAUGAUCAGCCACACUGGGACUGAGACACGGCCCAGACUCCUACGGGAGGCAGCAGUGGGGAAUCUUAGACAAUGGGGGCAACCCUGAUCUAGCCAUGCCGCGUGAGUGAUGAAGGCCCUAGGGUUGUAAAGCUCUUUCAGCUGGGAAGAUAAUGACGGUACCAGCAGAAGAAGCCCCGGUCUAACUCCGUG
RNAcentral lists this ribosomal RNA (434 nucleotides) under uncultured bacterium. Its description in RNAcentral is "bacterial SSU rRNA". It matches the Rfam family "Bacterial small subunit ribosomal RNA", at positions 29 to 507 of the family's 1533-position model. The record is from RNAcentral.